GCGUGGGUAACCUGCCCUAUAGAGGGGGAUAACUCUAGGAAACUUUAGCUAAUACCGCAUAAAAUCUAAUAACACAUGUUAUAAGAUUGAAAGUGCCAACUGGUACACUAUAGGGUGGACCCGCGUUGUAUUAGCUAGUUGGUGAGGUAAAGGCUCACCAAGGCGAUGAUACAUAGCCGACCUGAGAGGGUGAUCGGCCACACUGGGACUGAGACACGGCCCAGACUCCUACGGGAGGCAGCAGUAGGGAAUCUUCGGCAAUGGACGAAAGUCUGACCGAGCAACGCCGCGUGAGUGAAGAAGGUUUUCGGAUCGUAAAACUCUGUUGUAAGAGAAGAACACCAGUAAGAGUGGAAAGCUUACUGGCUGACGGUAUCUUACCAGAAAGCCACGGCUAACUACGUGCCAGCAGCCGCGGUAAUACGUAGGUGGCAAGCGUUGUCCGGAUUUAUUGGGCGUAAAGCGAGCGCAGGCGGUUCAUUAAGUCUGAUGUAAAAGGCAGUGGCUCAACCAUUGUAAGCAUUGAAAACUGGUGAACUUGAGUGCAGUAGAGGAGAGUGGAAUUCCAUGUGUAGCGGUGAAAUGCGUAGAUAUAUGGAGGAACACCGGAGGCGAAAGCGGCUCUCUGGACUGUAACUGACGCUGAGGCUUCAAAGCGUGGGGAGCAAACAGGAUUAGAUACCCU
RNAcentral lists this ribosomal RNA (685 nucleotides) under uncultured bacterium. RNAcentral's name for it is "bacterial SSU rRNA". It matches the Rfam family "Bacterial small subunit ribosomal RNA", at positions 115 to 788 of the family's 1533-position model. The record is from RNAcentral.